This 258-nucleotide ribosomal RNA is filed under the name uncultured bacterium. Its description in RNAcentral is "partial 16S ribosomal RNA". It matches the Rfam family "Bacterial small subunit ribosomal RNA", at positions 96 to 354 of the family's 1533-position model. The record is from RNAcentral.
UGGCGGACGGGUGAGUAACGCGUGGGCAACCUGCCCCAUACAGGGGGAUAACAGUUAGAAAUGACUGCUAACACCGCAUAAGCGCACAGGGCCGCAUGGUCCGGUGUGAAAAACUCCGGUGGUAUGGGAUGGGCCCGCGUCUGAUUAGCCAGUUGGCGGGGUAACGGCCCACCAAAGCGACGAUCAGUAGCCGACCUGAGAGGGUGACCGGCCACAUUGGGACUGAGACACGGCCCAAACUCCUACGGAAGGCAGCAG